GAGUAAUAUAUAGUUAAUCUGCCCCAAAGAAGAGGAUAAUUGUUGGAAACGACUUGUAAGACUCUAUAUGCCUUUAUAACAUAAGUUAGCAAGGGAAACAUUUAUGGCUUUGGGAUGAGACUGUACGGUAUCAGUUAGUUGGUGGGGUAAUGGCCUACCAAGACAAUGACACCUAACUGGUUUGAGAGGAUGAUCAGUCACACUGGAACUGACACACGGUCCAGACUCCUACGGGAGGCAGCANUGGGGAAUAUUGCACAANGGGCGAAAGCCUGAUGCAGCACCGCCGCGNGGNGGAUGACACAUUUCGGUGCGUAAACUCCUUUUNNAUAAGAAGAUAAUGACGGUAUCAUAU
RNAcentral lists this ribosomal RNA (355 nucleotides) under uncultured bacterium. Its description in RNAcentral is "bacterial SSU rRNA". It matches the Rfam family "Bacterial small subunit ribosomal RNA", at positions 108 to 483 of the family's 1533-position model. The record is from RNAcentral.